Pantherophis guttatus is the source of this 298-nucleotide non-coding RNA. The record is from RefSeq and is a predicted model, not a curated record. NCBI's taxonomy places the organism in Eukaryota, Metazoa, Chordata, Lepidosauria, Squamata, Colubridae.
GGAGAGAGAGAGAGACAAGGUUGUAUGUGGAUCAGUGGUGGCUUGCUCCCGGUUUGGUCCGGUUCUUGCGAACCGGUAAUAAAAGCAGUGGGAGGCUCCGCCCGCCCACCCGAACAUCAUCAUGGCCGAUCAGCGCAUGCGCAGAUGCUUCUGUAGUGCGCUCCCAUUGCGAACUGGUAGUAAAGAUGCUGAAUCCACUCCAUCUCUCAGAGGAUCCCAUCAGUGAGAUCAGGAAUUGGAGUCAAUGUUACGCUGGAAAAAAGACAGAAUCAAAAUCAAGUUGUCAGCAGUAGAAGAG